Pipistrellus kuhlii (Kuhl's pipistrelle) is the source of this 104-nucleotide small nuclear RNA. The record is from RefSeq and is a predicted model, not a curated record. NCBI's taxonomy places the organism in Eukaryota, Metazoa, Chordata, Mammalia, Chiroptera, Vespertilionidae.
GUGCUCGCUUUGGCAGUACAUAUACUCAAGUUGGAAUGAUACAGAGAUUAGCAUGGCCCUGGUGCAAAGAUGACAGGCAAAUUCAUGAAGCAUUCCGUAUUUUU